This 1125-nucleotide ribosomal RNA is filed under the name Alkalihalophilus lindianensis. RNAcentral describes it as "bacterial SSU rRNA". It matches the Rfam family "Bacterial small subunit ribosomal RNA", at positions 61 to 1166 of the family's 1533-position model. The record is from RNAcentral. Lineage: Bacteria; Bacillati; Bacillota; Bacilli; Caryophanales; Bacillaceae.
GUCGAGCGGACUGAUGRGAGCUUGCUCCCUGAUGUUAGCGGCGGACGGGUGAGUAACACGUGGGCAACCUACCUGUAAGACUGGGAUAACUCCGGGAAACCGGGGCUAAUACCGGAUAACCCGUUCCUCCUCAUGGAGGGACGGUAAAAGAUGGCUUCUUGCUAUCACUUACAGAUGGGCCCGCGGCGCAUUAGCUAGUUGGUAAGGUAAUGGCUUACCAAGGCGACGAUGCGUAGCCGACCUGAGAGGGUGAUCGGCCACACUGGGACUGAGACACGGCCCAGACUCCUACGGGAGGCAGCAGUAGGGAAUCUUCCGCAAUGGACGAAAGUCUGACGGAGCAACGCCGCGUGAGUGAUGAAGGUUUUCGGAUCGUAAAGCUCUGUUGUUAGGGAAGAACAAGUGCCGUUCGAAUAGGGCGGCACCUUGACGGUACCUAACCAGAAAGCCACGGCUAACUACGUGCCAGCAGCCGCGGUAAUACGUAGGUGGCAAGCGUUGUCCGGAAUUAUUGGGCGUAAAGCGCGCGCAGGCGGUCUUUUAAGUCUGAUGUGAAAGCCCACGGCUCAACCGUGGAGGGUCAUUGGAAACUGGGAGACUUGAGUACAGAAGAGGAGAGUGGAAUUCCACGUGUAGCGGUGAAAUGCGUAGAUAUGUGGAGGAACACCAGUGGCGAAGGCGACUCUCUGGUCUGUAACUGACGCUGAGGCGCGAAAGCGUGGGGAGCAAACAGGAUUAGAUACCCUGGUAGUCCACGCCGUAAACGAUGAGUGCUAGGUGUUAGGGGUUUCGAUGCCCUUAGUGCCGAAGUUAACACAUUAAGCACUCCGCCUGGGGAGUACGACCGCAAGGUUGAAACUCAAAGGAAUUGACGGGGGCCCGCACAAGCAGUGGAGCAUGUGGUUUAAUUCGAAGCAACGCGAAGAACCUUACCAGGUCUUGACAUCCUUUGACAACCCUAGAGAUAGGGCUUUCCCCUUCGGGGGACAAAGUGACAGGUGGUGCAUGGUUGUCGUCAGCUCGUGUCGUGAGAUGUUGGGUUAAGUCCCGCAACGAGCGCAACCCUUGAUCUUAGUUGCCAGCAUUCAGUUGGGCACUCUAAGGUGACUGCCGGUGACAAACCGG